This 786-nucleotide ribosomal RNA is filed under the name Desulforamulus profundi. RNAcentral describes it as "bacterial SSU rRNA". It matches the Rfam family "Bacterial small subunit ribosomal RNA", at positions 755 to 1533 of the family's 1533-position model. Lineage: Bacteria; Bacillati; Bacillota; Clostridia; Eubacteriales; Peptococcaceae. The record is from RNAcentral.
GAAAGCGUGGGGAGCGAACAGGAUUAGAUACCUGGUAGUCCACGCCGUAAACGAUGAGUGCUAGGUGUUGCRGGUAUCGACCCCGCAGUGCCGUAGUUAACACAAUAAGCACUCCGCCUGGGGAGUACGGUCGCAAGACUGAAACUCAAAGGAAUUGACGGGGGCCCGCACAAGCGGUGGAGUAUGUGGUUUAAUUCGACGCAACGCGAAGAACCUUACCAGGGCUUGACAUCCUCUGAAAGCCAUAGAGAUAUGGACCUUACUCGGGUGAACAGAGAGACAGGUGGUGCAUGGUUGUCGUCAGCUCGUGUCGUGAGAUGUUGGGUUAAGUCCCGCAACGAGCGCAACCCCUAACAUUAGUUGCCAGCGAGUAAGGUCGGGAACUCUAAUGUGACUGCCGUUGACAAAACGGAGGAAGGUGGGGAUGACGUCAAAUCAUCAUGCCCCUUAUGUCCUGGGCUACACACGUACUACAAUGGCCGGUACAGACGGAAGCGAAGCCGUGAGGCGGAGCAAAUCUGAGAAAGCCGGUCCCAGUUCGGAUUGUAGUCUGCAACUCGACUACAUGAAGUCGGAAUCGCUAGUAAUCGCAGGUCAGCAUACUGCGGUGAAUACGUUCCCGGGCCUUGUACACACCGCCCGUCACACCACGAAAGCUGACAACACCCGAAGCCGGUGAGCUAACCGAAAGGAGGCAGCCGUCGAAGGUGGGUUGGUGAUUGGGGUGAAGUCGUAACAAGGUAGCCGUAUCGGAAGGUGCGGCUGGAUCACCUCCUUUCUAAGGAG